Molecule: transfer-messenger RNA, 398 nt
Filed under: uncultured Prevotella sp.
Lineage: Bacteria; Pseudomonadati; Bacteroidota; Bacteroidia; Bacteroidales; Prevotellaceae
Rfam family: transfer-messenger RNA
About the family: Bacterial tmRNA, also known as 10Sa RNA or SsrA, is named for its dual tRNA and mRNA-like properties. Its role is to liberate the mRNA from a stalled ribosome.
Source: RNAcentral
GGGGCUGACUGGAUUUGACAGCGGGCUGGGAUGGUGCGUAAGCAUGCGGAGUGACGGUCGUCAACUCCUUAAUCACGCCGACCAACAAUUUAAUUGGCGAAACAAAGUACGCUCUCGCUGCCUAACCGAAGAUUAGUAGGUUAGCUUAAUUCCCCUGCAAGGCGGGGGAACGUGACAUCGCUCAGAGCCAACUCCCAGAGGCUGACUGGUUAUAGCGGUGCAGAAAUAUCAGGGAUAGCUGGCAGUAAGCCCCGCGCUGCUGGCGAAGUUUUUGGGGAUAAGGUGCCAGUUGGUGGUCCAGGUCUUGCUGUCACACGAAAACCGAAGGCUGGAAUAAGCAUGUAGAAAGCGUACGGUCACACCGUUUGGACGAGGGUUCGACUCCCUCCAGCUCCACA